GAUGAACGCUGGCGGCGUGCCUAAUACAUGCAAGUCGAGCGAACAGACGAGGAGCUUGCUCCUCUGACGUUAGCGGCGGACGGGUGAGUAACACGUGGAUAACCUACCUAUAAGACUGGGAUAACUUAGGGAAACCGGAGCUAAUACCGGAUAAUAUAUUGAACCGCAUGGUUCAAUAGUGAAAGACGGUUUUGCUGUCACUUAUAGAUGGAUCCGCGCCGCAUUAGCUAGUUGGUAAGGUAACGGCUUACCAAGGCAACGAUGCGUAGCCGACCUGAGAGGGUGAACGGCCACACUGGAACUGAGACACGGUCCAGACUCCUACGGGAGGCAGCAGUAGGGAAUCUUCCGCAAAGGGCGAAAGCCUGACGGAGCAACGCCGCGUGGGUGAUGAAGGUCUUCGGAUCGUAAAACUCUGUUAUUAGGGAAGAACAAAUGUGUAAGUAACUAUGCACGUCUUGACGGUACCUAAUCAGAAAGCCACGGCUAACUACGUG
Molecule: ribosomal RNA, 497 nt
Filed under: uncultured bacterium
Lineage: Bacteria
Description: partial 16S ribosomal RNA
Rfam family: Bacterial small subunit ribosomal RNA
Source: RNAcentral